This 204-nucleotide non-coding RNA is filed under the name Catenibacterium sp. RNAcentral's name for it is "T-box sequence". It matches the Rfam family "T-box leader". Rfam says of the family: Uncharged tRNA acts as the effector for transcription antitermination of genes in the T-box leader family. T-boxes are found upstream of many aminoacyl-tRNA synthetase genes and some amino acid biosynthetic genes usually in Gram-positive bacteria. The record is from RNAcentral. Lineage: Bacteria; Bacillati; Bacillota; Erysipelotrichia; Erysipelotrichales; Coprobacillaceae.
GAGAACACGAAGAAAAGGACUAGUAUGUAAUAUACUUAUAUUGAGAGAGGAAGAGACUGGUGGAAAUCUUCUUAUAAGAUAUUAUUGAAUUCACCUUGGAGUGCGGCUAAUCCCCGCCGUAACACUGACGUUAUAAGUGAUAAAGUGCAUAUAGUGUAUACUAUAUGAAUUUAGGAUGGUACCGCGAUUUAAGUCGUUCCUAUU